GACGAACGCUGGCGGCGUGCCUAAUACAUGCAAGUCGAGCGAAUCAAUGGGAGCUUGCUCCCUGAGAUUAGCGGCGGACGGGUGAGUAACACGUGGGUAACCUGCCUGUAAGACUGGGAUAACUUCGGGAAACCGGAGCUAAUACCGGAUACGUUCUUUUCUCGCAUGAGAAGAGAUGGAAAGAUGGUUCUGCUAUCACUUACAGAUGGACCCGCGGCGCAUUAGCUAGUUGGUGAGGUAACGGCUCACCAAGGCGACGAUGCGUAGCCGACCUGGGAGGGUGAUCGGCCACACUGGGACUGAGACACGGCCCAGACUCCUACGGGAGGUAGCAGUAGGGAAUCUUCCGCAAUGGACGAAAGUCUGACGGAGCAACGCCGCGUGAGCGAAGAAGGCCUUCGGGUCGUAAAGCUCUGUUGUUAGGGAAGAACAAGUACGGGAGUAACUGCUCGUACCUUGACGGUACCUAACCAGAAAGCCACGGCUAACUACGUGCCAGCCGCCGCCGUAA
Molecule: ribosomal RNA, 511 nt
Filed under: uncultured bacterium
Lineage: Bacteria
Description: partial 16S ribosomal RNA
Rfam family: Bacterial small subunit ribosomal RNA
Source: RNAcentral